UUAGGUGUUUUGUUUUUUUUUUUUUUUGUCACAGAAAUACGGAUGCACAUCACAGCAAGUGAACUGCUCUUUCAAUGUGGUGAUUAUGAAGCUUUUUUUGAUGUUGGUCCUCUUAUUUGAUUGAGGAGACUAUAAAAGUCAUACGGUGUAACUGCAUUGUUUCCGCUGUCAAUUUCUUUAGUUAAACUGCAAACUCUCUGCAUGAUUGGAGACUGUAAAAGGGUCAGAGG
This 230-nucleotide long non-coding RNA is filed under the name Capra hircus (goat). RNAcentral describes it as "lncRNA (ENSCHIG00000005837.1)". Lineage: Eukaryota; Metazoa; Chordata; Mammalia; Artiodactyla; Bovidae. The record is from RNAcentral.